UUGGCGUCCAUACGAUGGAUUCUACCAUCCCUUUCAUGGGAGCCCUCGGGUAGAAGUGAAAUACCACUACUUUUAACGUUAUUUUACUUAUUCCGUUAGUUAGAGGCGGGGCUUCACCCCUCCUUUUGGACCCAAGGCUCGCCUCGGUGGGCCGAUCCGGGCAAAAGACAUUGUCAGGUGGGGAGUUUGGUUGGGACGGCACAUCUGUUAAAAGAUAACGUAGGUGUCCUAAGAUGAGCUCAACGAGAACAUAAAUCUCGUGUGGAUCAAAAGGGUAAAAGCUCACUUGAUUCUGAUUUCCAAUACGAAUACAAACAGUGAAAGCGUGGCCUAUCAAUCCUUUAGACCUUCAGAAUUUGAAGGUAGAGGUGCAGAAAA
Molecule: non-coding RNA, 378 nt
Organism: Nelumbo nucifera (sacred lotus)
Lineage: Eukaryota; Viridiplantae; Streptophyta; Magnoliopsida; Proteales; Nelumbonaceae
Source: Rfam